Molecule: ribosomal RNA, 119 nt
Organism: Rhineura floridana
Lineage: Eukaryota; Metazoa; Chordata; Lepidosauria; Squamata; Rhineuridae
Source: RefSeq, a predicted model, not a curated record
GCCUACGGCCAUACUACCCUAAAUAUGCCCGAUCUCAUCUGAUCUCGGAAGCUAAGUAGGGUCAGGCCUGGUUAGUACUUGGAUGGAAGACUGCCUAGGAAUACUUGGUGUCGUAGGCU